GGAAUUGUUCGCAAUGGGCGCAAGCCUGACGACGCAACGCCGCGUGGAGGAUGAAGGUCUUCGGAUUGUAAACUCCUGUUGCCCGGGACGAAUAGCGCCAACCUAAUACGUUGGAGUAUGACGGUACCGGGUGCGGCAGCCCCGGCCAACUCUGUGCCCGCAGCCGCGGUAAUACAGAGGGGGCAAGCGUUGUUCGGAAUUACUGGGCGUAAAGGGCGCGUAGGCGGCCUUCUAAGUCAGACGUGAAAUCCCCGGGCUCAACCCGGGAACUGCGUCUGAUACUGGAAGGCUUGAAUCCGGGAGAGGGAUGUGGAAUUCCAGGUGUAGCGGUGAAAUGCGUAGAUAUCUGGAGGAACACCGGUGGCGAAGGCGGCAUCCUGGACCGGUAUUGACGCUGAGGCGCGAAAGCCAGGGGAGCAAAC
This 422-nucleotide ribosomal RNA is filed under the name uncultured bacterium. Its description in RNAcentral is "bacterial SSU rRNA". It matches the Rfam family "Bacterial small subunit ribosomal RNA", at positions 358 to 773 of the family's 1533-position model. The record is from RNAcentral.